UCUUUCCCUCCAUAUAGUCCACAUCAAACAUGAAGGAGUAAGAUUCUAGAUUGCUGAGAGGGAGGGAGAGGUUUUUAACACCAAUAAUUUGUUUUCAUUUUCUGUUCUCAAACAUGUAUUUUUGGAUCUUCUUCUUGAAAACACAGAACAAAAAAUGAAACCGAAUGUGUGUUAGGUGGUGGGGCCCACAGGAAAUGAAAACUGAAAACAAGGUUUCAGGAGAACCAAACAGGCUCUUACAUCUCCUAGAAGACUCUAGACUCAAUGAAAUUACCAAAAUAACCUUACUAGAGUUGCUGAAAUUACAAAUAUGCCCCUGAAUAUAAAAUUGUCUAUAACUAAUCAAAUAAAAACCCAAAUAAAAAACUGUUUUAACCCUAAAAGGCCCAACCUUUACCUUUUUUUUUAUGGGUAAAAAUAAUUCUAUUGAAACAAGACAACCUCGUUAAAUAGUCACGAAGUAGCCUAAAGAAAUAUGAAAGGAAAACUAUCUACUUAUGGAUCAAAUCUAUGAAAGAAUUAAUAGUUACCAUCUGUGAGACCCGACACCCACUCAUAAAGAGAACUGACUAAGGAUGCUUGCAAUUGUGUUGAUGUGUGUUCCACAUCUUCAAAGGUCCGCCGAUUUCUUUCCCUCCAUAUAGUCCACAUCAAACAUGAAGGAGUAAGAUUCUAGAUUGCCGAAUUAGGUCCCUUACUCCGCCACUCACAUAAUAAAUCAAGAACCUUCUCCAGUAGUACCCACUGAACCUCAUCAAACAUCUUGAAUAUCAAACUCCACAACUCAGAGGCCACAUUAUGAUGAAUCAAGAGGUGAUACUUCACUUGGAAUUCACACAUGGACCCUAUAAUGUAACUCUUGAAGAGCCAAAUUUGCAAAUGAAUAGCAUGUUAAUCUUCCAUGGCUGCAUCAAGAAUAUUUCGGGAUUGGUCUAUGUUUCAUAACUAACAGCCAUCCAGUCUGUUCCUUGGACCUGGCUUUAGAGUUGGCUCACUUGACCUUCCUUGGGCCAUGAGGCCCCCAUGUAAUUAUUAGUGUUUUUAUUUGAUUUUAAAUUUAGAAUGGGCUUAUUACAUUUCCUAAAUUUACCCUGCCAAUCACACUUUUGUCCUCCUGCAAUCCUAGUUCCUAAUUUACUACCACAUGAUCUCUGCCCAUUGUAAUAACCACGCCCCACUGCUCUCCUAAUCCUCCCUGCUUUAAAAACUUCAAUUUUUGAUCUCCAAUGUAGAGGAAUUGUGACCAAGUUAGUGCUAUGAACUCUUGUCGUCCCCUUAGAUAUUUUCCUUCUGGUACAUGGUUACUCCUAGGCAAGAACCUCUAUGGAAUUUCAACAAUUCCCAAAUACCAACCUCUCUUGUUCUCAUGGUGAUCUACAUGGACAGCUCGAUAGCUGUUGAUAUUGUUGAAAGUGUGUUUGAUGGGCUAAGUUUUCUUUUGCCUCAUCCACUUGAGCCUUUUUACAUUUUGCCUCUCCUUUUAUUUGAUAUGGGUCAAGUCCAUUGAAGCAAAAUUCAAAUGUUUUCAUGUUGGUAAAAGUAUUCUUUAAGUGCAAAGCAUAAAGCACCAAGGCUCCAAUGCUUUUUGCCUCUAUAGCAAGGCACAUUCAAAGAAGCGCACUUUUCUAUAAUUUCCCAAAAAAUAAACCAAAACAGAAUCAAGCUAUAGGAUCUUAACACUGUUGAUUUAACCAUUGAUUUGGUAUAUACAAUUCAAUGCUAUGGUGUUCUGAUAUACACUUUCCUACCCCUACAACUUUACAAAUUCUAUAAGACCCAUUUGGGACUGCAAUCGCUCGACAGUACCGUUAAUAUUAUAUUUACUAAUUCUUAUAGACUUAUACUGGUUAACUAAUUUUUUUUAUAGAUAAAAGAUAGAAACUAAUUGAAUUAUGAACUAAUAUUAGUCAUUAGUCAUAGGGCAUUAUGGCUACCGGUUAUUCAAGAAAGGAUAAUGCAUGGAAGUGCUCAUAUCUAGCUGAUCCAAAAAACAAAUUUGACUAGACUUGCAAUUUUUGUGGUAAAAUUGCAAAGGGGGAGGGGCUUAUAGAAUGUUAUUUGAAUUAUGUAAAAUGCCUUUUUUUAAUUUAUAUGAUUAUCUGAUCACUUGAUUAUUGUAUGAUCAUUAAUACUUUUUUUCAAUUUUUUUAUAUAAAAAUGUGUGCUUCACUUGAAGGAGGCAUGUGCUUGCGAUUUUACACUAAGGCUCCAAAGGCCUUUGCACUGAAGUGCGCCCCAUGCUUUUACCAACACUGUUGCUAUGUACAAAUCUGUUGCUUCUUUAUGCUGCCAACUUUUUCCGUUUCAAUUGGAUGUAUUGUCAUGGUACAUUUUAAAAUUCACCAAAAUAAUAAGUAUGGUCCUCUAUAAGUUGAAGUAUCUAUUGGCUGGAGCAGCAAGUCGUUUGUGUAGGCUCUGUAAAAGAAUUUAAAGUUGAAUGUGCUGAAGUUUUGUCAUUAAAGAUCUGCAAUCUCUCAACAUUUCUUCAAUAUAUAGUAUGAGCUGUUACCACUACAUUUCUCUUAAAGGAAUAUAUUGGAAGCUGUUCAUCGAGUGUUUUUCGCAUAGUUUUUGUAUGUAUAAACAAGUAUUUUGUUUGAUACUAAACUAUCAUACACUCUGCACGAGGCUAAUCCAGGAUUGGUAGUUAUAGGCAGCCUUAUUCCCAAAUUUUGGAGAUGCUGACAAACACUUAAACCUACAACUCAUUGCUUGGUCAGAGGGCACAUGUCAUCUCUCUAAGGUCUGACGUUUGUGUUUUGUUUAAUGCUAUGUUUUUAAAUUCUUAGUGCUGCUGAAUUUUUUUUUUUCAUUUCCUAAUUAAAAUUUAAGAUAAAUCAUAGAUUUGAUGUUUAUUAUUGUUUUUGAAAUAUAAAUACUUACUCCGAGAUAAAAUCUCUGACA
This is a long non-coding RNA of Quercus robur (English oak), 2904 nucleotides long. RefSeq lists it as uncharacterized. The record is from RefSeq and is a predicted model, not a curated record. Lineage: Eukaryota; Viridiplantae; Streptophyta; Magnoliopsida; Fagales; Fagaceae. The transcript is spliced from 2 exons.